GAGUUUGAUCCUGGCUCAGAACGAACGCUGGCGGCAGGCUUAACACAUGCAAGUCGAACGCGUGUAGCAAUACACGAGUGGCGCACGGGUGAGUAACGCGUGGAUAUCUGCCUUUUGGUUCGGAAUAACCCCGGGAAACUGGGGCUAAUACCGGAUGGUUCCUACGGGAUAAAGAUUUAUCGCCAAAAGAUGAGUCCGCGUACGAUUAGCUAGUUGGUGGGGUAAUGGCUCACCAAGGCGACGAUCCGUAGCUGGUUUGAGAGAACGACCAGCCACACUGGGACUGAGACACGGCCCAGACUCCUACGGGAGGCAGCAGUGGGGAAUUUUGGACAAUGGGGGCAACCCUGAUCCAGCCAUGCCGCGUGUGUGAAGAAGGCCUUC
RNAcentral lists this ribosomal RNA (384 nucleotides) under uncultured Alphaproteobacteria bacterium. Its description in RNAcentral is "bacterial SSU rRNA". It matches the Rfam family "Bacterial small subunit ribosomal RNA", at positions 9 to 419 of the family's 1533-position model. The record is from RNAcentral. Lineage: Bacteria; Pseudomonadati; Pseudomonadota; Alphaproteobacteria.